AACCAUAGAAACCUGCGGAGUACCUGCGGAGGGAUCAUUAACCUUUCAAAAAACAGGGUGCGUCGCGGCCCCCCUCCGGGGGCGGUUUGGGGUCCUCCCCUUCACGCGCGCACGACUGCAUCCUUACUUUACGAGCACCUUCUGUUCUCCCUCGGCGGGGCAACCUGCCGUUGGAACCGAAUAAACCCUUUUUUGCAUCCAGCAUUACCCGUUCCGAAACAAACAAUCGUUACAACUUUC
Molecule: unclassified non-coding RNA, 240 nt
Filed under: soil metagenome
Description: partial contains 5.8S ribosomal RNA, internal transcribed spacer 2, and large subunit ribosomal RNA
Source: RNAcentral